This is a long non-coding RNA of Orussus abietinus, 1323 nucleotides long. RefSeq lists it as uncharacterized. The transcript has 3 exons. The record is from RefSeq and is a predicted model, not a curated record. Lineage: Eukaryota; Metazoa; Arthropoda; Insecta; Hymenoptera; Orussidae.
UUGCAAGAGGCCGUUACGAAAGCGAGGCGGAUUAGAGGUCGGCGGGCGUGGAGCAUUCUUUAUCGUGGGCCGACGUUUCAGAACGGCCCGGUCUCGGAGACUUCGACGAUGGGUAGAAGACGUCGCCGGCUGGGCUCGUUCUUGGUUCAUUGAUAGUUGAAAUCACUAUGGCCUUCAUUCUUCUCCACCAUUCGACGCCGAGCGUGUAACUCGGCGUGGGUAGACUGAAAGAAAAAAAAGAAAAAAAAGAAAAAAAAGGAGGAACGCGCACACUUACGCCUUUCGAGCACGUAGGAGGUCGGACGAGCCCUCGCCAAGGAAGGAUAUAUUUAAUACGUGUUUUGUCAUCCAACCUCUCGACCCUGUGACGUCGCGGUGGGGCAACGGCUUAAUGUCGAUUACCUGGGUUUAGGAUCAGAGGUAUAAAAAAAGGCGCUUACGAGACAUAGGAUUCACGGGUCCCACGCUUGAACCUUUACGAGGCAUUCUCUGCGCGAUUUUCGCACGCGUCCCUCGAGCGUCAAGGGAAAGGUCGGUGGAUGUCUACAAAAAUGUGAGAUAAACGCGGGUUAAAUUCGCUGGCGUAAAGUGGAACGCCCUCCCCGAUGAUUUAUUCUCUUACGGGGACCGCCCAGUAACCCGGGAACGGCGGGGUGGAAAUCAAGAGGAAGGCCUCCCCGGAAAUGAACGGACAUAAGUGCGUGACCGUAAAGAAGCCACCAGAGCGCUCAACGUACGGAGAAGAUUGCCUGUUUGGAAUUAGCGGGCCGACCGCUAAUAAACAUUAUGGUGUCCCGUCGCUAACCGUGAUCCAAGGAAGUGCUCGAAAGAACUCCCGGAAUUCCCUAGCCGCUGGAUAACGAUCUCGAGCUGUUCCUAGCGCAUGUAUAUGGAACAUGUCAUCGCGCCGAAUAACCGGCGGAAUCGACAUUGCGAAAUCUAUCGGGACAGGGUAUCGAGUCGCCAUAGACAAGGCACGGUGAGAGGUUCCACCCACGCGCACCUGCGCCAACCUGGACCCUUUGAGAGUCAGGUUUAAAUGUGUUUAAAUGCACCUCGAGUCUUGGAGCAUACGAAUUCCGUAUUUUCCGGUCGUCUCGCUCGUAUUAAUUCCCGGAGCGAUCCCCCCACCCUGCGAUUCGAUGCUCGCUGCGUCUCUCUCUUUGAUUGGUUUCGCGGAUGAGUGAGAGAGAGAGAGCGAGAUAGCGAAACUCGUAAGUAAACCGAAUUGCCACUAGGUGUCAUUGGCGCUUGCGGGCCCGGGAUGGUCGGGCCAUAGGCGCACGACCUCCCGCGGACAAUCUGCAGGCUACGCCGGUGGGA